GUUGGUGAGGUAACGGCUCACCAAGGCGACGAUCCCUAGCUGGUCUGAGAGGAUGACCAGCCACACUGGAACUGAGACACGGUCCAGACUCCUACGGGAGGCAGCAGUGGGGAAUAUUGCACAAUGGGCGCAAGCCUGAUGCAGCCAUGCCGCGUGUAUGAAGAAGGCCUUCGGGUUGUAAAGUACUUUCAGCGGGGAGGAAGGUGUUGUGGUUAAUAACCGCAGCAAUUGACGUUACCCGCAGAAGAAGCACCGGCUAACUCCGUGCCAGCAGCCGCGGUAAUACGGAGGGUGCAAGCGUUAAUCGGAAUUACUGGGCGUAAAGCGCACGCAGGCGGUCUGUCAAGUCGGAUGUGAAAUCCCCGGGCUCAACCUGGGAACUGCAUUCGAAACUGGCAGGCUUGAGUC
RNAcentral lists this ribosomal RNA (408 nucleotides) under Salmonella enterica subsp. enterica serovar Typhimurium. RNAcentral describes it as "bacterial SSU rRNA". It matches the Rfam family "Bacterial small subunit ribosomal RNA", at positions 248 to 648 of the family's 1533-position model. The record is from RNAcentral. Lineage: Bacteria; Pseudomonadati; Pseudomonadota; Gammaproteobacteria; Enterobacterales; Enterobacteriaceae.